This is an RNA transcript of Andrographis paniculata, 4097 nucleotides long. RefSeq lists it as uncharacterized. NCBI's taxonomy places the organism in Eukaryota, Viridiplantae, Streptophyta, Magnoliopsida, Lamiales, Acanthaceae. The transcript is spliced from 5 exons. The record is from RefSeq and is a predicted model, not a curated record.
CAAUUUUCUUAAACAAAAAAAAAAAAAUUAUUAAAACCCUUUCUCUCUCUCUUCUCCCCUCCUCGCGCCGCCGGUUUCUCCCUCCGCCAGAAGACGCCCCUCCGCCGCGCCGAAGCCCUCUGCCUCCGCCUCCGUUCUUCUUCUUCUUCUUCCGCACCAGACGCAGCCUCCCCGCCGCGGGUUCCUCCCUCCGCCAGAAGACGCCCCUCCGCCGCGCCGAAGCCCUCCGCCUCCGCCGUUCAUCUUCUUCCUCUUAUUCUUCUUCUCCCUCUUCUUCUUCCUCUUCUUCUUCUUCUUCUUCUUCUUCUUCUUCUCCUUCUCCUCCAGGCGCCGCCCCUCCUCCGCCGGUUCCAGGUUCCCACGGCACGACGCCCGCCGCGAAAUCCCUACUCCACCGAACCUACGCCCUGCGACUCCACGCUGCCGCAGAUUCCACACGCCACCAGACGCCGCCGAGCCCUUCGCCGAUCGUCCUCUGCCAGACUACGAUCUCUUGCGCGUCGCCCUCGACUUCUUCCUCCCCUGCUCAGUCAUCUCCUAUCACCGCAUCCGAUCCUCUAAUUGGGUAAUAUUUCUUCAUCCCUUUGUUCUAAUUCUUUCCAUUUUUGGAGAUGGAUUUAUUGAGGCUAUGCGAUUGCUAAAAUUGGAAUCGAGAUUGAAAUUCAGUUCCUAUGAUUGGUGUUUUAUAAUGUUUAGGUGCGAUGAUCAUGGACUAUUUGUCUUGAGUUAAUAAGGUUAAUUGGUUGCUUGAGUUAAUGGGUUGUUAGUUGUUUGAUUUGCUCGAUUUUUUAUAGUCUACGUUGGCUUAGUUGAUGGGAAUGAAAUUGAAUUGACUUUGUUGAGACCUAAGAUUGAAUCCAAGCCCCGUGAUACCCCUUGAUACUUACUCACUGGUUGUGAACAUUAGGCGGUUGAAUUGAUUUGGUUUGUCGAGAUUUGGCAGAAAUCCAAGCACUUACUCUUUUGGAGCAAUUUUGUUUUGACAUGGUAGAAUUACAAACCAGACAUUCUUUGCUCCUUUUGGGAUACUUUGCUGUGUUGGUGAGUUUGUUUUUCAGGAGCCGUGAGAUUUUUCAAGCCCACUGCACCACCAACUCACAAGGCCUUGGCAAGGCAAGCAAAUAACACAAUGCAGUUUUACAACUCUCUACGGACUCCAAGGAAGUCCCUCUCUUCUUCUAUUGCUUUCUUUACCUUGCGGACAAUGCAUACUUUAGGUGUGGGGAGAGUUAUGCAAAAUUUUGGGCAAAUUUUUCAUUUUUUGUGCUACUUUUUAUGCCUGAUUUGCUGUCAUUUUGCAUGUUUUUUAGAUUUGUCUGAAGUGAGUCAAAGGUGAUUUGUGUGAUAGGUUAGUUUGGCAUGACUAAUGACAUUUGAUUGGUGAUAUGUUGAGUUAAGUCGACGUUUGAACCCUGUGAGAAUUUGAGCUUAUGUUCCAAAAGUCACAUUAGAAAAUAAAUUGCAUAUAUUCAAGCUUUUAGAAAUUUCUUUCAUGUGUGAUUUGUAGUGCUCAAUUAGAUGACCUAGAACUUGAGUGAUUAUGCAUGUUGAAUUUGCAACUAUCGAGUCUUGCAUUUUGAAAAUGAUAAGGGCAUUAGGUAUCCUAUUAAGCCUUUCUUUAUUACCCAGCACAAUAUAUUCCCCUAAUUAGCCCAUUUGAGCCUUCUUAGCCUAUUUUUCUUUUAUAAUAACAUGUCUUUUACCCUUGUACCCUUCUUUUGAUUAAGCCUUCUCCGAUUUGAAUCAUAUGUUAGAAUGAAUUACUUUAAGUCCAUGUUGUGAUGCACUUUAUUUCUUCGCAGUAGUUAGAAACGAACUUUGGGUACAAAUAAGUCAUAGUAUGAAGGAAUAACUGUGGGUUAUGUAGGUAUAUAUAUAUAUAUAUAUAAAGGCAAAAGCCAAAAAAAAAAUAAAAAAAAGGAAUAAUAAAAAAAAAAAAAAAAAAAAAGAAACAAAAAAAAAAAUACAAAAAUAAAUAAAUAAAUAAUUAUCUUAAUAAAGUAUUUUCAUUUAAUUUCAUUAUUAAAGUUUGGGUAGUGAAUAGAGUACGGAUUUAAUUGUUUAUGCCGAUUUGUUCUUCAUGUGCUAGCAUCGUGUUCUUAUUGUGUUCUUUUCUGACAUAUUUUAGCUCUUGUAUGUCUUUUUUCCUACCCUGACCAUAGGCCCCGUUACAACCCUUGUUGAAAGUCCCUUUGAUUCUCUAUGCUAAAUUCGAAUAUCUUAAGUAAGGGAGAUUUGAUUUUCACUCAAGCCUAUAGAAUAAUCUUUUGUUGCACUACCUGAGUGUUGAGCCAAUUAUACACUUAAUUCCUUCAGAGAGCAUGUGAGAAUACACUUUAUCUUGUGAGAUUGACUUGGCUUGAUGUGUUAAAAUUCAGAUUGAAUUGGUUGUUUUGGAUUCUCUUGUCAUAUCGAGUUGCCUGCAAUUUCUUUGGCUUAUUUCGAAUUUAUGCUUGAGGGCAAGCAUGAUCUAGGUGUGGAGAGAAUUGAUAGUUAGAAAUCGCAUGCGUUUUCUAUUCAUAUCAUAUGCGAUAUUUGGGUGAUUUUGAUUGGAUUCUACCUAAUUUAUAUGCGAAUUGUUUAUUUGUUGUGGGCAAAGGGCAAAUAUUAAAUUUGGCAUAAUUGGCAAAAAAAGGAAAUAAAAUUAAUUAAAGGCCCAAAAGUCCAUCUCCAAAAUAAUUAGGGCAAAAAUCAAAUAAGAAAGAAAAAGACACGCCUAUUUAGGGAGGAGAGAACGGCUAGGGCAGAAACGCACAGGAGCAGGAGACUGACAGAUUCAUAGACCGCGCAGGAGCAAAUCGACAGAGAACAUUUUCCUCUCCCACUAUGACUUUAUCUUUCUAUUUUGUUCUUUGUUAUUUGAUUAUGGAGUAGACAUUUUUCUGGUGGUUUGAGGGGUGAUAAUAUUUUGGUUCUUUUGUUUUGGAGAUUCUUGAUUUUCUUUAUAAAAGUUCUUUUUUAUUAUCAAUAUUUGUCUAAUUUUGAGAAUAGCGUUUGUGAUUGUUAGAUUGAUUGAAUAUUUUGGUACCGAUAUUUAAAUUAGUCUGAUAAUCUAAAGUCAAUUCAAGUAGGAUAUCCGUAAUUGUAUUCGCACUUGAAUAGGUGACAACCGGGUUGAAUAGUUUCUUCCCGGGGGUUAGACAAUCAAAUCUAAUUGCUUCUCUUAGGUAGUAAUUGUUUUGAAUUGAAUUUUUCUAGAUUGGAAUGCGGUUAGGCAAUAUUCUAAUGGGCGCAUCUAGGUUUAUUUGCUUAAUUAGGGGUAGUUAACGGUCGUACCUUAAUUACCUACACUGUAAGGAAAAAUUGGUUGUCAGAGCUUGUUGGUAACUAUAACCAAUUUAUUGAUACUUUAAUAAGAAUUUUAACUUUAUUGAAUUUAUGAUAAAACACAAGAGCCAUAACUGCAUUACCCUUUGAGCCAGACAUCCCCUUAAUAAUCAGUUCCCCUUUAAUUUAAUUGCUUUGUUAUUUUAUUUUAAUUAGAUAAUAAAAGAAAAAUCCCCCUUUAUUUACUGCAUUAGAAUACGAAAAAGUGAAUCACACAAUCCCUGUGGAGACGAUCCCUUCCCCUGUAUUACAUUAAAUUGUAAUCACGGAUUAGGUGAAAUAUUUGAUUGACUGCGCGACAGGUCAUCUACCAAUAAUUUUGAUUCCUAAGAUAUGGACGCUUCGGAGUUGGAGACACGAACUAAUUCCACCUCCGUGGCGGUGGAGGAAGAGGAAGAAGAGGAGUACGUUUUGCUUGAUUUGGAUGGCGUUUCCGACCACAUUAGCAUUCCUCCCAAUGCGCCAUACCAACUCUCUGGCCUGGACACUCCCAAUCCGAUUAUGCUGAUAGAUAACAAAAUUAAAUUGAUAGGAGAAUAUGAAGAGACAAUUGGGACUUGCCUUGUUUUCAAUCAAUCCGGUCAAACACCUUUAAAUAAGGACCAUUAAGGGGUUAGAUGCAGAGUUUAUGAAACGACAAGGGAGAUUGACGCACUUUUAGAAGUACGAAGGACUUGAUGCAAUUUCGUGAAAUCACAGAUGGAUCUCCUAUUGUUCACCAAGAGACAGGGCCUUCGGAAGCCAGCCUUUUCUCCGGAAAAUACAUAAUA